AUGAACGCUGGCGGCGUGCCUAAUCCCUGCAAGUCGCGCGAACAGUCGAGGAGCUUGCUCCUCUGACGUUAGCGGCGGACGGGUGAGUAACACGUGGAUAACCUACCUAUAAGACUGGGAUAACUUCGGGAAACCGGAGCUAAUACCGGAUAAUAUAUUGAACCGCAUGGUUCAAUAGUGAAAGACGGUUUUGCUGUCACUUAUAGAUGGAUCCGCGCCGCAUUAGCUAGUUGGUAAGGUAACGGCUUACCAAGGCAACGAUGCGUAGCCGACCUGAGAGGGUGAUCGGCCACACUGGAACUGAGACACGGUCCAGACUCCUACGGGAGGCAGCAGUAGGGAAUCUUCCGCAAUGGGCGAAAGCCUGACGGAGCAACGCCGCGUGAGUGAUGAAGGUCUUCGGAUCGUAAAACUCUGUUAUUAGGGAAGAACAAAUGUGUAAGUAACUAUGCACGUCUUGACGGUACCUAAUCAGAAAGCCACGGCUAACUACGUG
This 496-nucleotide ribosomal RNA is filed under the name uncultured bacterium. RNAcentral describes it as "partial 16S ribosomal RNA". It matches the Rfam family "Bacterial small subunit ribosomal RNA", at positions 29 to 507 of the family's 1533-position model. The record is from RNAcentral.